CUUUCCUUCCUUUGGCUCUGCUGUCAUGGUCGGUGGUGCAGGAAAGCUGAGUGCCAGUCAUUGGGGGGGCUAGUCACCCUCCCUUUUUGUUGUGGUGAAGAUCCCUGGGGAGCCCAAGUGAGUGACCACUUUGCUGUGGCUGCACCUGACACACUUGCAGGUCUCAUCGGCUGCCAGCGGUGGAGGAGAGGACGAGGAGAUCAGCGCAGACGAGAAGUGAAAAGGAUGAAGAAAACCCAAUCGAUCCAGAAUCCUCCAUCAUAAUCUUGUUGACGUCCUCAGAUGGUGCAGACGGCAGCCCUGGAGCAACUUUAGAGAACAUGUUUAAUCCAAAAACUGCCUUUUAUUUAUUUUAAAAAGGUGCCACACAUCUGAAAUACUCUACUGCAUCCAUGUGGCUGAUGCAUGAAGUGCAGAGGAAAGAAAUCACAUUACAGGUUUUUAUUCUUCCACUGCUGGCUUUUAUUUCCAAGCAAAUGUACAGUAGAUUGCCAUUGACAGCUACAGAAAGGUUGGCAAAAAUCCACAAGUAAAUCUUGAUAUGACUGUUAAAAACUGUAUAUAAAAAGACCCCAAAACUGUACAUCAAUUAACAUUACUACAUUUAUAUUAUAUAUACUGUAUCUGAGUGCUUUAUAGAUAUUGAUGGUUAAGAGAAAUAUCAUACAUUGUAAAAGAGGAAAUAACAUUCUGUUUGAAAGCUGUCAGUUUAGGUCUAGUUGAAAGAGUUAGGACAAGAGCAACUUGUACAUUACAUCCCAUAAUUAAUGGCGUUUAAAGUUUCUACAGUAAGGUGUGAACACCACAAAUCUCUUUUCCAGCGUUAAAGCUAAACAUACAUCUCCAGUGUUGUUCGAAUACUCCUCUACAUAAAUAGGACGCACACCACAUACAGUUUUCAGGACGUAAAAAAACAUAAUCUCUAACAUAUACAAAAUGCGUUUAAGUAAAUAAGUGUAUUUUACUGAUCAAGUCAUUAACUCAAAGGGCUUUUAACAAGUUCUCCAGCUGAUAGAGAAACAGGAAGUACACGACUAUCUCUUGGAAAGAUUACAUUGCACAAAAAAAGGGGAUUUAUGGCAAAGUUAUUUUAAUCAACUAUAAUAACUCCUCUAUUGUAUCCCAUAAAGGUGAUUGGUUUGUGUGCUUUUGAUAUUUGGUUGACGUGACUCCUUUAUCAUAUCAUCUGACACUGAACGUCUUUGCUUUCCUGUUAUAAAUAUUGAAUUUCUUUAGUAGUCAAAGAUGCCAAAUUGGAAAGGAAACAGAAUAUUGAUUUUAAAUCGAGUCAUCACGUCAGCCUCAUAUCUUUCCAGUGUGAGACCAUUAAUAAUGAGGUAAAGGGGAAUAUUAAACAUUACAUAUAAUAGAAAACAAUAAAAGCAACCUCUCAGAGACAGGUGCCCUCCUGGAUAUGUAUAAAACAUCUGGAAUAAAAACAAUAAAAAACAGAUACACCAUCUCCUGUAUUAUUUCAGUGCUGCGUUUGAUCUGAAUAAGUGUUCUUGGUCAUGUG
Eleginops maclovinus (Patagonian blennie) is the source of this 1516-nucleotide long non-coding RNA. RefSeq lists it as uncharacterized. The record is from RefSeq and is a predicted model, not a curated record. The transcript has 3 exons. Lineage: Eukaryota; Metazoa; Chordata; Actinopteri; Perciformes; Eleginopidae.